GUGCCAGCAGCCGCGGUAAUACGGGGGGGGCAAGCGUUGUUCGGAAUUACUGGGCGUAAAGGGCUCGUAGGCGGCCAACUAAGUCGGACGUGAAAUCCCUCGGCUUAACCGGGGAACGGCGUCCGAUACUGGAUGGCUUGAGUUUGGGAGAGGGAUGCGGAAUUCCAGGUGUAGCGGUGAAAUGCGUAGAUAUCUGGAGGAACACCGGUGGCGAAGGCGGCAUCCUGGACCAAAACUGACGCUGAAUAGCGAAAGCCAGGGGAGCAAACGGGAUUAGAUACCCCCGUAGUCC
RNAcentral lists this ribosomal RNA (292 nucleotides) under uncultured bacterium. RNAcentral describes it as "partial 16S ribosomal RNA". It matches the Rfam family "Bacterial small subunit ribosomal RNA", at positions 505 to 796 of the family's 1533-position model. The record is from RNAcentral.